Molecule: long non-coding RNA, 271 nt
Filed under: Lathyrus oleraceus (garden pea)
Lineage: Eukaryota; Viridiplantae; Streptophyta; Magnoliopsida; Fabales; Fabaceae
Description: Pisum sativum (pea) long non-coding RNA (PSAT_LNC006063)
Source: RNAcentral
AUGGAUUUCCCUUCACUCUUGGGUCUCACAUGCUCCUGUACAGGCCCAUCCAUGGAGGAUCCAAAUUUCAUGCACACGAGCCAAGCAUUGCAUUGCAUCACAUUCAGCUAUAAAUAGAAGCUCAUUCUCAUUCAAAUGAAAAAAAACCACAAGGAGAUCUGAAAUGCUGCUGGAUUGAAAACCAAACCCUCACCAAAGGAAUUUUCAGUUUUCAUUUUCAAUUUCAAGCUUGAAUUUCAACAUCAUUAGUUGAUCUUCAAGUCUUAAUUCC